ACGUCGCUCUGAAUAAACGAAUACGUUUCGUUGUCGUAAUUCUUUAAAUUAUUAACGAGAAUAUUUUUUCUUGUUAAAAUUGUAUUAAAUGCGAACGUAGAAAAGGGAUUUUGAGCAACGGCAACAGCAACGGCAACAGCAACGGCAACGGCAACGGCAAUAGUAACGACAGUAAGCAACACUAGAAACUCCUUGAGACGUGCGAUACCUUCUCCCGUCUCUUCGAGAGACAUCAUGCUUACAUGUGUGUAUGUUUGCUCGUGCCAUAAGCAAGUGGUACGGUAAAUGUGUACGAGGGAUGUGAAGAAAAACGAAGGGAGGGAGAAAGGUAAAAUAUAUCAUAGAUCACAGAGAUGCAAAAAGGGACGAUCCUAAUUUGGCCAUAUAUUCUCGAAGAUUUUUAUCCAAGUAUUGGUAUAAAUAAUAUUUAAAA
Vespa mandarinia (Asian giant hornet) is the source of this 433-nucleotide long non-coding RNA. NCBI's taxonomy places the organism in Eukaryota, Metazoa, Arthropoda, Insecta, Hymenoptera, Vespidae. The record is from RefSeq and is a predicted model, not a curated record.